RNAcentral lists this ribosomal RNA (533 nucleotides) under Oenococcus oeni. RNAcentral's name for it is "bacterial LSU rRNA". It matches the Rfam family "Bacterial large subunit ribosomal RNA", at positions 384 to 918 of the family's 2925-position model. Lineage: Bacteria; Bacillati; Bacillota; Bacilli; Lactobacillales; Lactobacillaceae. The record is from RNAcentral.
AUCUUGUACUCUCUAAUCAGGAUCCUGAGUACGGCCCAGCACGUGAAAUUGGGUCGGAAUCUGGGAGGACCAUCUCCCAAGGCUAAAUACUAACUAGUGACCGAUAGCGAACAAGUACCGUGAGGGAAAGGUGAAAAGAACCCCGAAAGGGGAGUGAAAUAGUUCUUGAAACCGUGUGCUUACAAGAAGUUCGAGGCCGUUAAUGGCUGAGAGCGUGCUUUUUGUAGAAUGAACCGGAGAGUUACGAUUGCGUGCAAGGUUAAGGUGCAAAGACUGGAGCCGUAGCGAAAGCGAGUCUUAAUAGGGCGAAUCAGUACGUAGUUGUAGACCCGAAACCGAGUGACCUAUCCAUGGUCAGGUUGAAGGUGGGGUAAUACCUACUGGAGGACCGAACAAGUGGGUGUUAAAAAACCCUUUGAUGAACUGUGGAUAGCGGUGAAAUUCCAAUCGAACUCGGAGAUAGCUGGUUCUAUCCGAAAUACAUUUAGGUGUAGCCUUGCAAUUAGCUUACUGGAGGUAGAGCACUAUUUGGU